RNAcentral lists this non-coding RNA (30 nucleotides) under Mus musculus (house mouse). The record is from RNAcentral. Lineage: Eukaryota; Metazoa; Chordata; Mammalia; Rodentia; Muridae.
UGACAUUGUCCUCUGCAAAGUUCAUGCUUG